GUGGGGUGCAUGCAGAAAUUAUGGAAAUUAAAUUAUUGUCAUGUAGAUGUAAUAAAAGCACAUAUAAAGAGACAAAUAUGUAAUAGUAGUAGCUAUGGAGUAAUAGUAUUAGUUCUUUAAAGAAUUUUAAAUAUGUUGAACAAAAAAGGAUCUUUGAAUAUUAAAUGGCGAAAAAGAUAACGAUUGGCUCCAAAAUCCUUUUUUGAUUUUUUUAAGUAUGAAUUUUAAUCCUCUUUUCUUGAAAAUUUGACAUUGAUUUUUUUGUGUACAUGUAUUUUUUUGGCCUUCCUUUUUCAAAGGAGAGGUCAUUUGUGAUAAUAAAUGAGAACUUCAGGAAGAUGAAGAUAAACUAAGAAAGAAAAGAGCAGAUACAAAUAACUAAAAACGUUUUUGAAGCAAUAAUUAAGAGAUAUAAUCAGGAGGCGUGAUAAAGAUAGCAGUAGUUAGUGUUACAUGUAUUAUUAUUAUUAUUAUUAUUAUUAUUAUUAUGAUGCUUAUCUUUAUGAUUCUUCAUUAUAUGUAUUGAUUUCUCUCUUAAGAAUGCUAUCAGCCUAUCAACGCAAGCCCUUGACGUAUCUCAAAGAAACAUUUAAUGCUGGGUUUCAAACUGAUUUUAGCUCGAAGUUGCAAACUUAGGGUUUUGCUUGUUUCGUUCUCUGAACUCAUCGUAGGACGUAGACGUAGCAUUUAGCAAUUUAAGGCAUACUGUGUUUUGUUCCCCAUUGCGACUCUGAAUUAGUGACAAAAUUUGCAACUACGUGAG
RNAcentral lists this long non-coding RNA (763 nucleotides) under Brassica napus (rape). RNAcentral describes it as "long non-coding RNA (BNAP_LNC012858)". Lineage: Eukaryota; Viridiplantae; Streptophyta; Magnoliopsida; Brassicales; Brassicaceae. The record is from RNAcentral.